RNAcentral lists this ribosomal RNA (253 nucleotides) under uncultured bacterium. RNAcentral describes it as "partial 16S ribosomal RNA". It matches the Rfam family "Bacterial small subunit ribosomal RNA", at positions 524 to 776 of the family's 1533-position model. The record is from RNAcentral.
UACGUAGGGAGCAAGCGUUGUCCGGAAUCAUUGGGCGUAAAGCGCGCGUAGGUGGCCCCAUAAGUCCGCUGUGAAAGUCAAAGGCUCGACCUUUGAAAGCCGGUGGAUACUGUGGGACUAGAGUACGGAAGAGGCGAGUGGAAUUCCUGGUGUAGCGGUGGAAUGCGCAGAUAUCAGGAGGAACACCGAUGGCGAAGGCAGGUCACUGGGCCGCAACUGACGCUGAGGAGCGAAAGCAUGGGGAGCGAACAGG